CCAGGACUGUCUCAGUCACACAGAUGGACAGAGCAAACGAUUUUAGGGCGCCUGAGAUUUGUUUUAAUCAGAUGCUACUCGCACGCCUUCCAUGUGCCACUGGCCCCAGGAGGAGACCACAGAGGUGGUCUAGGCUUAGCCUCAGAACAAAACGAGACAAGAUACAAGCAUGUGGCAGAUGAAGAGACGAGGCUGAGAAAGAGCCCAGGACAAGGUGGUGACAAAAGCAGGAUGCAGGACCCAAAUUCCCCUUCGAGAGCUCUUCCUCCUCCAGCCGGGAAAUUCCGUUCGGCUCAUUGUCUUUGGCCUCAAACUCCCGGGGGAAGGGACGGAACCUGGGAGGCUGAGGAAAACCAGAUGCCUAAUCGAUGCUCCUGCAUUUGACAAGGGCGCUGGGGGUGGACGGGCCUGGAGCUGCGCGGCAAACAUUUCAGACUCUUUUGCAUCCUGAAAAUGGCUCUGGGUGUGGAGACAGCCCGGGGAGGAGGCCGUCUGGGACCAUAUGACGCUUGCCAGUGGCAUGAAGGCUGUUAGAGCCAUGGUAGCAACAUUACUUACCCUCCUCCCUUCUCUUGAACAGUGACGAGGCUCCCCCCACUUCACGGGAAGCACACGAAAUCUGGCCCCCAGAGAGGUGGGAUUGAAAACCUGACAGUUUGGACAUACAGCCCGUGGGCAAUGUUUCCCUUCUCCCGGGCUUGUGUCUGUGCCAAGAAUUCCUAACAAAG
This 728-nucleotide long non-coding RNA is filed under the name Equus asinus (donkey). Its description in RNAcentral is "lncRNA (ENSEASG00005030176.1)". Lineage: Eukaryota; Metazoa; Chordata; Mammalia; Perissodactyla; Equidae. The record is from RNAcentral.